ACGACCAGUUCAGUAACCGCCGCUCACCUUGAAAGAGUGGUCACACUGUAGCGAGUGCUGUCAGGGAGUGUAGAAGUCCACGUUAGACACACAACAAUCGGCGAUCUUCUUUUUUUUUUCAUUUUUUUCAAUGUUUAUUGUGAAGUGUGCGUGGGUGUUUGAUUCUCGUCGUAGGUCUUUCGUUGAAAGCUGUAUUUCAACAUCAGUUUGCCGGUGCGUGAUGGCAGAUUGUUGUUACUAACUGCGACUGAAACGUGGACGAAAACCCUCUGUGUGUGUUUUGGUUUUGCACUCGGUUUUGCCAAAUCGUAUUUCAUUGUGCCCCCACAGCUGACACGUCGUGUGGUAAGAAGAGAUUGGAAGUAGUUUAGAUUUAGAAGGAUUGAAAUCCUUUUUGACGCACCACCAAAAACCGAAAAUGAUGAACUUUUAUGAGAAUCUCUGCUUCCGGUGCGACCAGACGGUGUACCAGGUGGACCGUGUCGGCCCACUGAAGGACUUUACGUUUUUCCACCAGGGCUGCUUUAAAUGCUCGGCGUGCGGCACGAAAUUGACGCUCAAAACCUAUUACAAUAAUCAGGAUUCUAAUGACGACAAGGAGGUCUAUUGCGUGAGCCACGUACCCAAAAUCGGACCCGGUCACCUGGACGGAUCGGCCGUGGGUAUUCGCUCUGCCUUGAAUGUGCCCAAGUCGUUCAACUACGUCAACGAACAGAUCCGCGGAGGAGGCAAAGGCACUUUUGACGCCGAGGCGUUGGCCAUUAAGCCCCACCUAAACAACGGCCGUCAUGGCGGUGAGAACGGACUGUUUGCCGAACACCAGUACGGCCGUUUCGAUGCCAGCGCUCUUCACAUUGCUCACGCUCUACGCGCCACCGAGCUCCAGCGCAGUUACAGGCGACCUAUUGAAAAGCCUCUUGACUCUUAUCUGGACAAAGACACUCAAGUUCGAUUGGAAAUGAAACACCGUAAGGAAGAGGAUGACCUGUACCGCAAAUUCGCCCGGCAACGCGAAGAAGAAGAGUUUAAAUUCAAGGAAGAAUUCCGGGAAGAGUGGGAGAAGGAGCUGGAGAAGUUGACGUCACGGUUCGAGCGUGAGCUGGCCAACAAACGGAAGAAACCCGACGAGCAAAAAGUGUUGACUCUGAGACUGCAAAGGGAGCGCGAGGAUCUCGAAAAGAAUCUAACCGUCCGCCGUGACAAGAAAAAGGAGUCGCUCACCCGCAAGCUUCUGGAACAUGAACGGGCGGCGACUGCAGCGCUGGUGGAAAAACAGAGCAAAGAGAUGAUGAACCUAAUCAACGAAAAACGCUCCGAGUUUAUGCGUGCCGAGAGCCUUUACAUCGAUGAUGACUAUCAAACAGAAGAAUUGUUUCCUUACCCAAGUAACGCGCCUGCCCCUCAACCACCCGGUGUGGCCAAAACUGAUAUCUAUCACGACCCACUGGUUUUUGCCGAUAUCGAUCAAAUUGCUAUCUCGGUGGCACAAGAAGAUCAGAAAACAUUCACAGACCUUGUACGCAUGUUGAUUGGACGAUGUGGAUCCGAUGUCGAAAAAGCCAGAACCAUUUUCCGGUGGAUCACGGUCAAGAAUUUGAAUACGAUGCAGUUCGACGACACCGUUCGUACUGACACACCCAUGGGUUUGCUGCGAGGCAUCAAGCACGGCACGGAAAGUUACCACGUCCUGUUCAAACGCAUUUGCAGCUAUGCUGGUCUCCAUUGCGUGGUCAUUAAGGGCUAUUCGAAAUCAGCCGGUUAUCAGCCGGGAGUGCGCUUCGAGGACAACCGCUUCCGCAACUCGUGGAACGCCGUCUAUGUCGCCGGUGCCUGGCGCUUCGUUCAAUGCAACUGGGGCGCACGUCAUUUGGUCAAUGCCAAAGAGGUGCCUAAACCUGGUAGCAAAAGCAAAUCCGACAGUCUUCGCUACGAGUACGAUGAUCAUUACUUCCUAACGGAUCCUAAAGAAUUCAUCUACGAAUUCUUCCCUCUUCAAGCCGAAUGGCAACUGCUUAAAACCACCAUCACGCUCAAAGAGUUUGAAGACCUGCCUUUUGUGCGUUCCCUCUUCUUCCGUUAUGGAUUGUACUUCCCAGAUGACAACACCAAGGCAGUUAUGGUUACAGAUUCCACAGGAGCUGUUACCAUUCGGAUCGGUAUGCCGUCCAACAUGCAAGCCAGUCUGAUUUUUCAUUAUAACCUUAAAUUCUACGACAAGGAUACCGACACGUUCGAGAACAUCAGUUUAAAGCGUUUCGUCAUGCAGUCUGUUGUUGGCAACGUUGUUGCCUUCCGAGUUCACGCCCCGUGCAGUGGAUCGUUCCUGCUGGACAUCUUCGCUAACGCAGUGACGCCACGCGAGUACCUGACUGGAGAACCCAUGAAAUUCAAAAGCGUUUGCAAGUUCAAGAUUGUUUGCGAGGACCUUCAGACAGUUAUGGUACCAUUGCCGGACUGCGCUAGUGGUGAAUGGGGUCCAAUGAAAGCGACCCGUCUCUUUGGUCUCGUGCCCAUCACGCAUCAAGAUGCACUCAUCUUUGCCGGCCGCGAGCUGGAAUGCCAAUUCCGCAUGUCUCGCCCUCUGACUGACUUCAUGGCCACGCUCCACAAAAACGGUUCGGAGGAGAAGAGGUUAGCAAAAUACGCUACGCACUACGUGACUGACGAUCUGGUCACGUUUAAAAUCAGUUUCCCCGAAGAGGGUCAGUACGGCAUGGAUAUUUACACGCGUGAAGUCAAUUCCAUGGGAAAUAGCAGUGGCAAUAAUGCUGAACAUAGCAACGAGAAACACCUGUUGACUCAUUGCUGUAAAUAUCUGAUCAACUCUUCGAAACGUAACCAGAUUUAGAGUUGAAUUUUCUACCGCUAAACAGCUUACCCAUCUCUUCUUUCUCUACGUUCUGUUUCUGCCUUAUCUGUUUCGGUGCUAAAUUAACAAGGUAAUCAAGUAGCAACUGGUUCCUCAUCCAAUCACUAAAGCAACACAGUAGCUGCACUGAUUCCUGCAUUCAUUAUAAUUUUUUUGGUUUUCGUUUUUUCCUCGAUCGCUAUUUGAAAAGAACGGAGACACUGUGAAGCCGUGUGAAAGCCGGCCUUCCGUACGAUACCAUUCGUUUCAUUCACAUUACGUGCGAAUGAAACAGACGUUUAUGUUGAUAUUUUUUUCCCCUUUAUUUUUCUGGGUAGUAAGGCAGCUUCACAUCGAUGACGAUUACGUUUGAAAACGGAGGGAAAAUGAUUUUUUUUCUGCCUAUUUUUUGUAUAUUCUUUAUAACCAAGAUGCAGAUGCCUUUUCACAUAAUUGUUAACUCUUCUUUUUUUCAAGAGUAUUUAGUCCUCUCAACCCGAAUAUUGUCGUACGUUUCAUUAUAUUACAUUCCUUGUAACGAGAUUAAAAAAAAAAAAAAAAACUAAACAAAAACAAACAAAAGAAAAACAAAAUUGGAAAUAUGGUUACAGUGAUUCACUUCUAUUGUUGUAGGCAUAUUUAGAAACUAACACGGUUUUAAUAACCUACAGUGCAUUCUGUAGAAUCGUGAAGUAAAAGACAUUCUAAAACUGUGUAAUCACAAGUAUGGCAGUUGGUCAACUGCUGAUGACUGAAGUCCUAAUACAAAAGAAAAAUGGUGCUUGUAAUACACUAGAAUAAAACAACA
Molecule: unclassified non-coding RNA, 3656 nt
Filed under: Daphnia magna
Lineage: Eukaryota; Metazoa; Arthropoda; Branchiopoda; Diplostraca; Daphniidae
Description: hillarin, transcript variant X2
Source: RNAcentral